This 181-nucleotide non-coding RNA is filed under the name Staphylococcus epidermidis. RNAcentral describes it as "Lysine sequence". It matches the Rfam family "Lysine riboswitch aptamer". From Rfam's summary of the family: Riboswitches are metabolite binding domains within certain messenger RNAs that serve as precision sensors for their corresponding targets. Allosteric rearrangement of mRNA structure is mediated by ligand binding, and this results in modulation of gene expression. The record is from Rfam by way of RNAcentral. Lineage: Bacteria; Bacillati; Bacillota; Bacilli; Caryophanales; Staphylococcaceae.
AAUAGAGUUAGAGGUUGCAUUAUUAAUGACUAACUUAUCAGAAGUCGUAUGGGACAUGUGUUGAAUAAGUGAAAGGUAAUAAUGCCGAAAUGAUGUUAUUUCCAUAAAUUAGCAUUGUGAAGUUGGUUGAACAAUAAAAACAUCACAACCACGAAUGCUUUCUUCAAUAUUUAUUUGAAUU